AGAGCGAACGCUGGCGGCAGGCCUAACACAUGCAAGUCGAGCGCGUGUAGCAAUACACGAGCGGCAGACGGGAGAGUAACACGUGGGAACGCGCCCUUCGGUUCGGAAUAACUCAGGGAAACUUGAGCUAAUACCGGAUACGCCCUUACGGGGAAAGAUUUAUUGCCGAAGGAACGGCCCGCGUCCGAUUAGCUAGUUGGUGAGGUAACGGCUCACCAAGGCGACGAUCGGUAGCUGGUCUGAGAGGAUGACCAGCCUCACUGGGACUGAGACACGGCCCAGACUCCUACGGGAGGCAGCAGUGGGGAAUAUUGGACAAUGGGCGCAAGCCUGAUCCAGCCAUGCCGCGUGGAUGAUGAAGGCCUUAGGGUUGUAAAGUCCUUUAACGGGGAAGAUAAUGACGGUACCCGUAGAAUAAGCCCCGGCUAACUUCGUGCCAGCAGCCGC
RNAcentral lists this ribosomal RNA (447 nucleotides) under uncultured bacterium. Its description in RNAcentral is "SSU rRNA". It matches the Rfam family "Bacterial small subunit ribosomal RNA", at positions 26 to 518 of the family's 1533-position model. The record is from RNAcentral.